RNAcentral lists this transfer RNA (59 nucleotides) under Rhodospirillales bacterium. RNAcentral's name for it is "tRNA-Met". It matches the Rfam family "tRNA", at positions 9 to 64 of the family's 71-position model. Rfam says of the family: Transfer RNA (tRNA) molecules are approximately 80 nucleotides in length. Their secondary structure includes four short double-helical elements and three loops (D, anti-codon, and T loops). The record is from RNAcentral. Lineage: Bacteria; Pseudomonadati; Pseudomonadota; Alphaproteobacteria; Rhodospirillales.
AGCUCAGCUGGUUAGAGCCGGCCGCUCAUAACGGUCUGGUCGCAGGUUCGAGUCCUGCC